GGAUGGACAUACCUCUGGUGUACCAGUUGUCGUGCCAACGGCAUAGCUGGGUAGCUAUGUAUGGACGGGAUAAGUGCUGAAAGCAUCUAAGCAUGAAGCCCCCCUCAAGAUGAGAUUUCCCAACUUCGGUUAUAAGAUCCCUCAAAGAUGAUGAGGUUAAUAGGUUCGAGGUGGAAGCGUGGUGACACGUGGAGCUGACGAAUACUAAUCGAUCGAAGACUUAAUCAAAAUU
Molecule: ribosomal RNA, 232 nt
Filed under: Pseudomonas aeruginosa
Lineage: Bacteria; Pseudomonadati; Pseudomonadota; Gammaproteobacteria; Pseudomonadales; Pseudomonadaceae
Description: partial 23S ribosomal RNA
Rfam family: Bacterial large subunit ribosomal RNA
Source: RNAcentral